RNAcentral lists this long non-coding RNA (663 nucleotides) under Capsicum annuum. RNAcentral describes it as "long non-coding RNA (CANN_LNC018256)". The record is from RNAcentral. Lineage: Eukaryota; Viridiplantae; Streptophyta; Magnoliopsida; Solanales; Solanaceae.
AAGCACAAAUUUUCUUUCUUUUUUUUUAGUAACGAACUAAUACAUAAAUAAGCUUGGCACAAAGCACACAUGCUUGACAGAAUAAUCGGUUCUCUCCACACAAACCAACAACAACAACUUAAGUGUAUUUCCACAGAGUGGGGUCUGAGGAGGGUAAAACGUGCGCAGUUCAUACCGCUACCUUCAAAAAGAUAGAGAAACUAUUUCCGAUAGAUCCUCGACUCAAGAUAAAUAAUAAUAAACAAGGUCGUAAUGAAACAAGAAGUCUCUCCACACAAGCCAUCUUUGCAAAAUACCACAAGUACAUCAAAAACACUUAAUGAUAAUAAGUAAAGACAAAUUCUAACAAUAUAGUACGAGAUAUGUGUACAGAAAAAGCAAUCACAUCCACAUUACUCCUCAAACUUGUAAGCUUCAUCAUUAGCAUCAAUCAUUUUUCGAACAAACACUUGGGUAAAGACGGACCAAUGAUAGCAGUGGCGGAUCCAAAAAUUAUACUAUUUUUACGAACUAUUCUAGAUCCACCGCUGAAUGAUAGCACCAACCAAAGCGCCACACAGAGUACCAGUGCCAAGAAUGAGAUUUUUUAGUUUUGCAACAUAAUUCUGUCGCUCCUCUCCUCUCACUCCUUCUCCUGUCGCUCCUUCCGCUGCUUUUGGCCCU